CUUCGUAGUAUAAACUCCUUUAUUUUGAAUUACGGUAUUACUAAUAACUUAACGCGAUACGAGAAAAAUGUUUCAACGUAGCAAAUUAAAUUUAAAAAUUAUUUCACCGGAAUAAUAGUUUCAGGAAAAGAAUUCAAGGGACAACGACAAGUCAAUAACUCAAUGCAAAUAACCCGACCUUCAUGACUCAAGGAAACCCGAAAUACAAAUUAUCAAGUCUUAAAUGAAUGAACUAGGAUUUUCUUAGUAUUCAGCUAUAACCAAUUCUUAAAUGAAAUGUAAAACCAUCAGAUAAGUACAGUCAAAGAGAAAUACAUAAGCGCGCGCACACACACACACACACAUACACACACAUACACACACACACACACACACACACACACUCUGAUGCGAUGCACAUCCUGAUCUCAACAAUCCUCCCUUAUUCCCCCUCAACAAUUACCAUAAAGUAAAUAGUAUAUAUUUAUUGCGGCGUGCAACCCGAUCCCAUCAAUCCUCCCUUAUUCCUCCUUAACAAUUACAAUAAGAGUAAAUAGUAUUCGAACAACCAUAUCAGUAACAACAUGAUCAUUCUCCCUUAUUACUCCUUGUUGCAGAACGCAACCCGAUCCCACCAGUCCACCUUUAUUUUAUAUCACCCUUAUUUAUUUUGUUGCAGCGUGCAACCCGAUCUCACGGUCUACCCUUUGUACUCCUUGUUGUAGCGUGCAAUCGAUCAUACCAAACAACAUCAAUUCUCCCUUAUUCCUCUUCAACAUAUCAACAACUCAGCAUAGUCUAAAAUCAACAACAACAACAACAACAAUUCAACAACCCAAUCAGAAAGGUUACUACCACCAAGAGUAUGAAUACACAGCAACGAGAGAAUCACAAAAAAACCAAGAAGCAGAACAGCCUUUACAAAAAACAACAAGACAUAUAAGACACAUGAUAAUUACAUCAGCAACCACAACAAUUUAGACACAUAGCAUAAGGCACGGGGUCAUAGAGGAAUUUCACAAUUAAGAAUAACAAAACAAUGAGGACAACUACUCUAAUUAAGGCAAUUAAAGGCCAAGUAAUAAGUAAGAAUUAGAGGAAAGUUAACAACAUUGUAUGGAGCAUAUAGAGGUAAAACAAGCAAUUAGGAAACACAAUAAUAUUGGAAAACUUCCCUCUUAAUGAACAUAUGGACCUAAGAACCAGAAAUGCAAAGUUUCCACAAAUAAGUCCGAGCACAUACUCGUCAACUCGCGUGCACGAACUACAAACAUUGCAGCUACGAACAAACACUUCUAAAUCAAACAGAACCAGAAAUAGAUCAAAUAAUGAUUUUGCUAAGCUAUCGAUGCAUGACUCGUCAUCCCAGAACUAACGUUUGAAAACAAAAUAGCAAACAAAGAGAGAAUUUAAAAAAUUACAUUGAAGAAAGGAGCAAGGUACCAGGUUCUAACAGCGGAUUGACGACUUCAAAGAAAUCAAUGCCUUAGGAGGAUCCGAUAAGCGGCGAAAAUUGUAAUGCGAGAAUUACCUGGAAUUUCUCCGGAGUUUAAUGCUUCAGAUCACAAUCUUCGACACCUAUAUUGAGAGUGAGACGAGCCAGAACGUGGAGCAUGGAUUGCUUGGCUAAAAUAGGCUUCCAUGAGGGCCUGGAAUCUUGAUUGCAUGACCAACUGAUCCCUCAUGCUAGUAUCAAAAGAAGUGAACAUCAGAAAAACACGAAGGAAAUCGGAGAAGAGGAAGCCAACCCAGAUUUUCUACCUUCCGAGAUUCAAGAUUCAUGGGAAUCGAGCGACAUUAUAACAAAACUAGCAGUGGAUUUGGAAUGGGGAAGCAACAAGGAUUAUAGGGUCAAAUUUUGACGAGGUUUGGAUCUUGAUCCCCGACGACCAUGACUGAAUCGCUCAGGGACGGCUCAGUCUUGGUGAAGAAGAUGAGAGAAACUAUUGCUUUGUUCUUUC
Molecule: long non-coding RNA, 1940 nt
Filed under: Nicotiana benthamiana
Lineage: Eukaryota; Viridiplantae; Streptophyta; Magnoliopsida; Solanales; Solanaceae
Description: long non-coding RNA (NBEN_LNC029157)
Source: RNAcentral